This 395-nucleotide ribosomal RNA is filed under the name uncultured bacterium. Its description in RNAcentral is "bacterial SSU rRNA". It matches the Rfam family "Bacterial small subunit ribosomal RNA", at positions 28 to 430 of the family's 1533-position model. The record is from RNAcentral.
GACGAACGCUGGCGGCGUGCUUAACACAUGCAAGUCGAACGGUAAGGCCCUUCGGGUACACGAGUGGCGAACGGGUGAGUAACACGUGGGUGAUCUGCCCUGCACUUCGGGAUAAGCUUGGGAAACUGGGUCUAAUACCGGAUAGGACCACGGUCUGCAUGGAUUGUGGUGGAAAGCUUUUGCGGUGUGGGAUGGGCCCGCGGCCUAUCAGCUUGUUGGUGGGGUGAUGGCCUACCAAGGCGACGACGGGUAGCCGGCCUGAGAGGGUGUCCGGCCACACUGGGACUGAGAUACGGCCCAGACUCCUACGGGAGGCAGCAGUGGGGAAUAUUGCACAAUGGGCGCAAGCCUGAUGCAGCGACGCCGCGUGGGGGAUGACGGCCUCGGUUGUAACG